This 93-nucleotide microRNA precursor is filed under the name Canis lupus familiaris (dog). RNAcentral's name for it is "mir-8799 microRNA precursor family". It matches the Rfam family "mir-8799 microRNA precursor family". Lineage: Eukaryota; Metazoa; Chordata; Mammalia; Carnivora; Canidae. The record is from Rfam by way of RNAcentral. RNAcentral also lists the same sequence under 1 other name.
AGGGGGAGAGCAGGAUCCUGGGCUGUGUCCCCAGCGCCCUGGGCUCCGGGGUCUGCACUGCUGGAAUCGCGCUCCUGGGGCGCGCAGCCCCCU